This 359-nucleotide long non-coding RNA is filed under the name Rhipicephalus microplus (southern cattle tick). Its description in RNAcentral is "uncharacterized LOC119167818". The record is from RNAcentral. Lineage: Eukaryota; Metazoa; Arthropoda; Arachnida; Ixodida; Ixodidae.
GGUGCGUGUGUAGUGCAUGUGAACAUUGUUGCGUCUCUUAAUUGCUCAGUAUCGCGCCUGUACACUCGCAAUUCUCCAAGAUGUUUGGUUUCGCAGUGAUAAUUAAAAAUUAAUAGUCCCGAUAAGUGCAUGUAAGUACAUCAAUCCGAAGGAUACAGGCAAUUUUGAUCCUCACAAGUGGUACCGGGUGUUCUGGAAGGAUAACACACACUGCGGCCACUAUCACGCUCAAGUGAUUAAGCUUUACGGCACCGAGGAUGAUGCAAGGAAUGCAACAGAAAAACGACCAUCCAUUCCGCAGACCCGAUUGCGACUCCUCCGAUAGCUGCAGUUCAAAUGAAGUGGACAAUGAGUCGUUU